ACCUGGUUGGCUUAGCUGGUGGAGCAUGCGACUCUUGAUCUCAGGAUUGUGGGUUCAAGACCCACAAUAAAUG
Molecule: transfer RNA, 73 nt
Filed under: Ailuropoda melanoleuca (giant panda)
Lineage: Eukaryota; Metazoa; Chordata; Mammalia; Carnivora; Ursidae
Rfam family: tRNA
About the family: Transfer RNA (tRNA) molecules are approximately 80 nucleotides in length. Their secondary structure includes four short double-helical elements and three loops (D, anti-codon, and T loops).
Source: Rfam by way of RNAcentral